AGGUGUCGCCUGCCCAGUGAUCUUAUUUUUAACGGCCGCGGUAUCCUAACCGUGCAAAGGUAGCGUAAUCAUUUGUCUCCUAAAUAGGGACUCGUAUGAACGGCUAACUGAGGGCCUAACUGUCUCCUGAGGCUAAUCAAUGAAACUGAUCUUUCAGUACAAAAGCUGAAAUAAACACAUAAGACGAGAAGACCCUGUGGAGCUUUAAAUCCACACUAUAAACCACCCCCAUCCCCAAGGAGAAGUAUUCAUCAAAAACUAUAGUUAAAAUUUUUAGUUGGGGCGACUUUGGAACAAAACAAAACUUCCAUGCCAGGGAUCCCACCCCUAUCAAGGCUAACACGCCAAAACAUUAUUUUUUGAUCCAGCACAACUGAUCAACGAACCAAGUUACCCCAGGGAUAACAGCGCCAUCCUCUUCAAGAGUCCAUAUCGACAAGAGGGUUUACGACCUCGAUGUUGGAUCAGGACACCCCGGUGGUGCAACCGCUACCAAAGGUUCGUUUGUUCAACGAUUAACAGUCCUACGUGAUCUGAGUCA
RNAcentral lists this ribosomal RNA (541 nucleotides) under Correlophus sarasinorum (Roux's giant gecko). RNAcentral's name for it is "partial 16S ribosomal RNA". It matches the Rfam family "Bacterial large subunit ribosomal RNA", at positions 1850 to 2612 of the family's 2925-position model. The record is from RNAcentral. Lineage: Eukaryota; Metazoa; Chordata; Lepidosauria; Squamata; Diplodactylidae.